GAGGGUAUAGCUCAGUGGUAGAACAUGUGCUUAGCAUGCAUGAGGUCAUGGUUUCAAUCCCCAGUACCUCCU
This 72-nucleotide transfer RNA is filed under the name Camelus bactrianus (Bactrian camel). It matches the Rfam family "tRNA". Rfam says of the family: Transfer RNA (tRNA) molecules are approximately 80 nucleotides in length. Their secondary structure includes four short double-helical elements and three loops (D, anti-codon, and T loops). RNAcentral also lists the same sequence under 2 other names. The record is from Rfam by way of RNAcentral. Lineage: Eukaryota; Metazoa; Chordata; Mammalia; Artiodactyla; Camelidae.